GGUGUUUGGGUGGAGGUGUUGUGCUGGUGUUUGGGUGGAGGUGUGUGUGUUUGGGUGGAGGUGUUGUGCUGGUGUUUGGGUGGAGGUGUGUGUGUUUGGGUGGAGGUGUUGUGCUGGUGUUUGGGUGGAGGUGUUGGAGUUUGGGUGGAGAUGUUGUGCUGGUGUUUAGGUGGAGGUGUUGGUGUUUGGGUGGAGGUGUUGGUGUUUGGGUGGAGGUGUUGUGCUGGUGUUUGGGUGAAGGUGUUGGUGUUUGGGUGGAGGUGUGUGUGUUUGGGUGGAGGUGUGUGUGUUUGGGUGGAGGUGUGUGUGUUUGGGUGGAGGUGUUGUGCUGGUGUUUGGGUGGAGGUGUUGGUGUUUGGGUGGAGGUGUUGUGCUGGUGUUUAGGUGUUGGUGUUUGGGUGGAGGUGUUGUGCUGGUGUUUGGGUGGAGGUGUUGGUGUUUGGGUGGAGGUGUUGUGCUGGUGUUUGGGUGGAGGUGUUGUGCUGGUGUUUAGGUGGAGGUGUUGUGCUGGUGUUUGGGUGGAGGUGUUGUGCUGGUGUUUAGGUGGAGGUGUUGUGCUGGUGUUUAGGUGGAGGUGUCGGUGUUUGGGUGGAGGUGAACUCACAGUGAUCUGAGUGCGCUGAGCUGUUGGAAUGUGUUUAUAUCAACCCGUCUGAUCAGA
Astyanax mexicanus (Mexican tetra) is the source of this 661-nucleotide long non-coding RNA. RefSeq lists it as uncharacterized. The record is from RefSeq and is a predicted model, not a curated record. NCBI's taxonomy places the organism in Eukaryota, Metazoa, Chordata, Actinopteri, Characiformes, Acestrorhamphidae. The transcript is spliced from 4 exons.